RNAcentral lists this ribosomal RNA (395 nucleotides) under uncultured bacterium. RNAcentral's name for it is "partial 16S ribosomal RNA". It matches the Rfam family "Bacterial small subunit ribosomal RNA", at positions 523 to 918 of the family's 1533-position model. The record is from RNAcentral.
AUACGUAGGGUGCAAGCGUUAAUCGGAAUUACUGGGCGUAAAGCGUGCGCAGGCGGUUUUGUAAGACCGUGGUGAAAACCCCGGGCUCAACCUGGGAACUGCCGUUGUGACUGCAAGGCUGGAGUGCGGCAGAGGGGGAUGGAAUUCCGCGUGUAGCAGUGAAAGGCCGAGAUAUGCGGAGGAACACCGGUGGCGAAGGCAAUCAGCUGGGGCUGCACUGACGCUCAUGCACGAAAGCGUUGGGAGCAAAGAGAAUUAGAGACCCUGGUAGUCCGCGCCCUAAACGAUGUCAACUGGUUGUUGGGGAUUUAUUUUCUCAGUAACGAAGCUAACGCGUGUAGUUGUCCGCCUGGGGGGUUCGGCCGCAAGGUUAAAACUUAAAGGAUUUGACGGGG